This 377-nucleotide unclassified non-coding RNA is filed under the name air metagenome. Its description in RNAcentral is "partial contains small subunit ribosomal RNA, internal transcribed spacer 1, and 5.8S ribosomal RNA". The stretch from base 1 to 46 matches the Rfam family "Eukaryotic small subunit ribosomal RNA", at positions 1786 to 1831 of the family's 1831-position model. The record is from RNAcentral.
AAGUCGUAACAAGGUUUCCGUAGGUGAACCUGCGGAAGGAUCAUUAUUGAAUAAACUUGGCUGGGUUGUUGCUGGUUCUUUCGGGGACAUGUGCACACCCGUCAUCUUUGUAUUUCCACCUGUGCACAUUUUGUAGGUCCAAAAAAUUUUUCCCGAGACACUCGUUUGGGGGACUGCCGUUCGUUAAUGUCGGCUUCCCCUGUUGGCCUGUAUAGGUCAAAAUUUUUUUCCAAGACACUCGUCUGGGGCACUGUCAUCUGGCUUGCUCUGCAUUUAUUGGCCUAUGUUUUCAUAUACACCAUAAUGUAAUAGAAUGUUAUUAAUGGGCUUUGCCUAUAAACUAUAUACAACUUUCAGCAACGGAUCUCUUGGCUCUC